This 433-nucleotide ribosomal RNA is filed under the name uncultured bacterium. Its description in RNAcentral is "partial 16S ribosomal RNA". It matches the Rfam family "Bacterial small subunit ribosomal RNA", at positions 30 to 507 of the family's 1533-position model. The record is from RNAcentral.
ACCGAACGUUGGCGGCAUCUCUAACACUUGCAAGCCGACCGAGACCCUCGGGUCUAGUGGCGUACGGGUGUGUAGAGCGUGGGAACCUGACCUUAGGUUCGGAAUAUCUCCCUGGAAAGGGUGCCAGUAAAGGGUAAUUACUACGGACCAGAGACUUAUCGCCUUUGGAUGGGCCCGCGUUGGUUUAGCUAGUUGGUAGGGUAUAAGCCUAUCUAGGCGACGAUCCAUAGCUGGUCUGAGAGGAUGAUCAGCCACACUGGGACUGAGACACGGCCCAGACUCGGACGGGGGGCAGCAGUGGGGAGUAUUGGACGAUGAGCGAAAGUCUAAUCCAGCAAUGCCGCGGGAGUGAGGAAGGGCUUAGGAUUGUAAAGCUCUUUGACCCGGGAUGAUAAUGACAGUACCGGGAGAAUAAGCACCGGCUAACUCCGUG